CCUACGGGGGGCAGCAGUGGGGAAUAUUGCGCAAUGGGCGAAAGCCUGACGCAGCGACGCCGCGUGAGGGAUGAAGGUCUUCGGAUCGUAAACCUCUGUCAGCAGGGAAGAACGGUCACUGUGCUAAUCAGCAGUGAAUUGACGGUACCUGCAAAGGAAGCACCGGCUAACUCCGUGCCAGCAGCCGCGGUAAUACGGAGGGUGCGAGCGUUAAUCGGAAUUACUGGGCGUAAAGCGCUCGUAGGCGGUAUGUCACGUCAAGGGGGAAAUCCCCGCGCUCAACGUGGGAACUGCCUUUGAAACUGGCAAACUGGAGUGUGUGAGAGGAUAGUGGAAUUCCAGGUGUAGGAGUGAAAUCCGUAGAUAUCUGGAGGAACAUCAGUGGCGAAGGCGACUAUCUGGCACAUAACUGACGCUGAGGAGCGAAAGCGUGGGUAGCAAACAGGAUUAGAUACCCCGGUAGUC
This 465-nucleotide ribosomal RNA is filed under the name uncultured bacterium. RNAcentral's name for it is "partial 16S ribosomal RNA". It matches the Rfam family "Bacterial small subunit ribosomal RNA", at positions 338 to 795 of the family's 1533-position model. The record is from RNAcentral.